GAGUGAUUAUAAACUGCUUUACCCUGAGCGUUUUCGGCUUUUUCGAUUCACUACUUUUGUUGCAUAUCCAAAAGGUGUUCGCCUACUUGCCCAUCUUACCCAGCUAAAAUGUCUUGGCCAAGAGUUUGACGAAGUGUUUGCCAAAGAGUUUGUCUGGGAAACCUUAUUGAGUGAUAAUUUGGAUGAAACUUUAUUAUUGAGUGACAACAACACAUGUGAUGAGAAACCUCUCUGCAUUUGCAACAUAUGCUGUUAUGAUUACGAAGUAUGUGACGAAUUCAUCACUCAUCUCAAGUGUGAAGAGCACAGAAACCAGGUAAUUAAGGAAGCAGCAUGCAUCCUCAGCUUUUUUUUUUUAUCAUUUUUUUUCAUGUAAUCUGUGUGUGUGUGCAGUGGUCUGAAAUUGUGCACGACCGCAAGCUUAAAUAUUUUUGCCAAGUUUGCAAUUAUCCCGCCUAUAGCCACUAUAACCUCUUUCUCCAUAACCAAAGUGAAGCACAUAAUCGCAAGGUAAGCGCAGCUUGUGAUCAUUAUUAUACAUUUUAACAACUCUCUGUAUCACUAAAAUUUGAUCCCCAUUUUGGUUUGUUUUCAAGCUGGUUGAGAAACAGGCUCAAGAAGAGGAGGAUUGCCAGAGCAGGAAGACAAAUCCAGAAUUGGAUCUCUUCUACGAGAGAAACAAGGAGCAAUCUCUUUGAACCAAGGCAGCCUAAGGAAGAAGCAGCAGCUAGAGUGCGUGCAUCCCCAUGGGGUUUUUGUGUUAAAGAGUUUUACUAAAUAAUGGACUACUUAAUUAUUAUUAUUAUUAUGCUGAAUACUUUGUUCUUCUACCACUCAAAAUAUUUUCAAGUCUGGUUUGUUUUUCUUUUUUUUCAUUUUUAAUUAUUACAUGACAAGAUUUAUUCGUAUGUGAAACUUAAAACAAACUCACUUAGAAAGAAAUUUCAUUUCUAUCUUUGCACAUAUUUUUGUCUUUUAUUUUUGAUUUCUAGGAUUACUUUUUUUUUUUUUUUAUCUUUAUGAAAAUUAAUGUGUAUUAUCGUACACAACGUUUAUACAAAGAUAUUGUCCUAAUUAUGUUGGAUUCUGUCAGAAUAUUUUAUUCCCUUUCUCUAAACUAGGGCACGUGAAAAUCUUUGUUGUUGUAUUGAUCAUAAUCAAAUUAAUUUUACUUCUUUUUCAAUCAUUUUUCCUACACAUUUUUUUUAGAUAUUAGACUAAAAUAGUUGUACAUAUUUUGGAACCAUAGAGCGAAGAUGUAUAGGAGAUUAUAUCAGCUAGCCACAUCCAUGUCAAGGCGAUUCAGUGUCCGGACCGGCAUUGUCGAUUAAUCUCGUUUGGAGAGAUGGUAACUAAAUUCCUUGUAACUUUUUUUUUUUGAUCAAAAUUUCCUUGUAACUUUGCCCAUCUUAUUCACUAUACUAACGGUUCGGACCAUUAGCAGUAUAAUAUAUCUAAACAUUAACAUUAUCGAUGACAUAUAUUUUUCUUUUUAUUCAACUAUGUGAGCAGCAAAAAAAAUAUGCAAAAUACAACUAUUGACACUUUUGAAUCGCAACUAAGGGGACUGGUGAUAUGUGAGGAGAAUCAAGAGAUUAUUUGUAUAUAUGCUUUAAGUUUUUUCAUGUAAGUAACAACUAACAAGGAAGCAGUGUUUUCUCUUCAUUUUGGUUAUUCACUGGUGAGAGCAAUGACACUGGACAUUUUCUAUCUAAUUUACGUUCUCUAUUUGAUAACUAUUCAGAACCUACGGGGAUAUGGCAUGUGCUUAUUAUCUAUGAAUAUGAAUAGUACUUAUAUAGCUCAUUAUGCUCGACCGUGUGUGCAAUGUAGCUAUCUUCCAAUAUUAUUUUUGUUACGCCCCGACUGUCCACUGCUAAUGGGCCACCCACACCUGUUCACUCGGCCCGUGUGUUACAUUCCGUCCGAUGGGAAGUUCGUUAAUUUUUUCAAGGCCCAUAAGUCUUAUUUACUGACCAUGCAAUCACCACAUGACAUUUCCCUAUGUUUUGACCUCAUUUCACUACUCCAAUCCAGCACGCUUGACUCUGGAAUUCGAAACGGAUGUGUGACGAAAAAGAUAAGUCAACUUUGAUAACAAGAGAUAGUCAAAUCAAUUUUCUUAAGCCUUUUCCAUAUAUCAUAACUGGAGAUGUUACAAUUCACCUUCUCUCAAAAAACGCAACGCUCUCGUUGCGUCCCACGACAGGUCUCAAGACGUCUUUCGGGUCAGAACCGAGAUGGCUAACCAGCUCUUACCACUUGUAACACCCCGACCGUCUACGGUUAAUGGACCACCCACGUCCGCUCACUCGGCAUGUGGGCCCCAUCCCGUCCGACGGGGGAUGCGUUAACUUAUCCAAGGCCCAAAAGUCUUAUUUACUGACCAUGCAAUCACCAUCCGAUCUUUCUCCAUGUUUUGGCCUCACUCGCAUGGUCUCGCGAAUCACUUCCCGAUAUAUCACCCAUCCUUUCACUACGCCAGCCCAAGCACGAUUAACUCUAGAGUUCUAAACGGAUGUGUGACGGAAAAGAUAAGUCAACUUUGGUAACAUACAUAGCCAAAUCAAUUAUCUUAAGCAUUUAUAAUAUAUCACAACUCGGGAUGUUACAAUUUUACUUUUUUCUCUUUUUCAUCAGAUUUAAUAUAUGUUGCGUUUUAUAUAAGAACAAUUUCAAAAAAGAUAUAUAGUUAAAUAUCAAUGAUAAAUGAUGAAAAUCUGUUGACAAGUGGAUGAACCACUUUUUCUUUGACAUCUUUCUGUAUGAACAAAAGUUUAGAGAUGAUAAUUACAUUAUUUUCAGGAUGUGAUAGAUCUUUUUAAAAAAAUCUAUUUUAUUCUAAGUUUCAAGAAUAAAGUAACUAAAUUUUGAAAAGAAAUUAAAAAUUUUAAUCCUAUUUUUAGGUUUAAUAUCAAAUUUAGUUUGUUUUAUGAAAAUUAAAUAUAACUUAUUUCUUUUUCAAUUAAAAUUAAGAUUUUUUAAAAAAUUUUAAUCUAUAAUUUAGUUAAUUUCAUCAUGAAAAUUAAAAUAAAAUUAGAAAAUUUUAAGAUUUGUUUUUCAAUUUUUCAAUUUUGAAUUUCUUUUAAAAUUUAUUAAGAUUCUUGAUUAGAGUGAAUACAGUUGGGUAUGAGCAUGGUUUUGAAAUUUUGUGUAUUUAAAAAGAAUAAAAUAAUUAUUCUUUAUUUUAAAUUGGGUAUUUAAAAAGUUCGGAUAUUUAAAAAAUUCAUAAAAGUUAAUCUGGAUAUUUAUAUGGAAUCUUCUUGCUUAUAUCAUAAGUUACUUGUUUAGUAUAUAAUAUAUGUUAUAAUUUAUAUAUAAUAAAUAUACAGCAGAUAAUUAAUAGUGACUAUUUAUAUAUUGAUUUUAAUAUAUCCACAAUUACCAUAUACAAUUUAAUUUUACAACAGUACAAUGAUAAAAUCUGUAUUGCCUUUGAACCAGUCACCCCUAUAUUACUUAUGACCCCUGGUGGAUCUAGGUGGAACAAGAAGGGUGCAACCGCCCCCAGUAAAAAUUACAACUAAAAUUAAAUACAUCAGAAUUUUUAUAUAUCUUGCAAUCUAGUUGGUUAAAUUCUUUUAUUUGCAUCCACUAAACCAAUGUUAGAACAACACUAUAUCUUUUUCACUAUUUUUGCCUCCAUUCAUUAUAUUUUCUAGAUCCGCUACUGCUUAUGACCUGGUGGAUAAGAGAUGGAUUAAGAAAAUAACAAUUUUAGUAACCUUAUCUAAAUUUAAUUUAUUAAAAUUUAAUAAUAUUAUUAAAUACAAAUUACUGCUAAAAUCUACAAGCUUUUGGACAUAUUAAGCCUUCUCAGAACUAUAUAAAUACUAUUAUAAACGCAACUGGAAAUGAAUAAGUGAAGAAAAACAUUGUAGAAAUAAGGUGAAAACUAAAGAAAAAAAUGGGGAGAGUGAAAAUACAGAUGAGAAAAAUAGUGGAUAGACAACAAAGAAAUAUUGCAUUUGCCAAAAGAAAAAGCGGGCUUCUGAAAAAAGCUUAUGAACUCUUUAUUCUCUGUGAUGUUCAAAUGGUUCUCAUUUUCUUCUCACCUUCUGGUAAACUUUUCCUGUUUGAUACGAAAACAAGGUAUUGUUUCCUUGUCAAAACUUUGUUUAAAUCUCAUUUAUAAUCUUGUAAUUCUUAUAUUUACUAUUUCAUCAAAAGUGGGUUUUUGAUAUCAAAUCAUCGGUAUUCUUUUAAUUUUUCUUCCGUAUCAAUUUUAAUAUGUUGUUAAAUAUAUAAUAGGAUGGAAGAGACUAUAAAGAAGUAUGUGGAUGUGCCUAUACGUCCAAGGUAAAUUUGUUGUGUUAAUGCAUGAAGGAACUUACAACAAUAGCCAGUUUUAUUAUGCUAACUUAAUAAACAUCUAUAUGUGCAUGGCCUAUUGGAAUUGUAACUGGUCGGUUCAACUAACAGACUCCAAGUCCAAGAGGAAGCGGUAAGUAUCCUCAUAAUAACCAAGCCAAUUACAUAAUUAUUUUGGACAUUAAAAUAUCCUUAUCAUUAUAUCUAAUUUGGAUCUUUUUCUUAUUGAUAUGGGGAUAUAGUUUAUACGACGGUGGAUAGAUAUCAUGCGUAUAGAAUCACAAUAUCCUGAAUCGAUCGUGAGGUUAUAAUGAAUUCACUUUAAAUCGAUUCUAUUGAAAUUAUAUAAUUCUUUGCUUUAUACUUCACUUAUAUUGUAGUAUUUUAUGACAAGUACUAUGUUUAAUUCUAUUUUAAUAGGCCCAGAGAAAAUUUUGGCGAUGGGAUUCUUUCUCAAGCUCGAUCAAAGGUAUGUGGAUAGACGUUUUUCUAAUUAUUUGGAAUUACUUUAUAUAUAGGAAUCCACUUUAUGCAUGGUUUUAUUUAAUUCGUUUAUAGUUUAACCAUUCAAUUCUCUCUAAACAGGAGAUAGAAGACGAAAUCUCCAAAUGCAAAGCCGAAAUGGCGAAAGUGGAACAACAGUUAGGGUAUUCAUCUUAUUGUAUACAUAUGAUUAGUACAUAUUUUAAAAACAUACCGGUAUCGUUCAUUUGUAUAUCUUUAAUGCUAUUUAUUCUAUUUUAUUUUCAAAUUAAGGUACUUUUUAAAACAUCCAAAUCAGUGGACAACAAGAGAUGACAUUGAGUAUCAAGAGAAAAUACUCGAGGAGACGUUGGAUAAAGUUCGAUCUCGGAAGGUAAAUUGAUGAUAAUACAAAAAUGGGUCUUAAACUUAAGUUUUAGUAACAUUGUUAAGCAAAAAAAAAAANNNNNNNNNNNNNNNNNNNNNNNNNNNNNNNNNNNNNNNNNNNNNNNNNNNNNNNNNNNNNNNNNNNNNNNNNNNNNNNNNNNNNNNNNNNNNNNNNNNNCAACCUAGUUGUCCGCUGCAUCACUACUCCAUGCAAUGCAAGUAAAGGCAAUCACGCUUCUAUUAUUUAGUAUCAUUUAGUAUACUUUUCCUAAGAAAACCAUGUCCUUUUUCUAUUCCACAAAACAUGAUAAAUAAUUUCACUAUGUAUGCCUUAAACGGUUUCUGUUAAAAAUAAAGUAAAUACGAACUUUAAGAAUAUGCAAUGGAAUAAUUCAUUUACAUUAUUUUAAUUUGAUUGUUUCAAAGAAAGGAAAAUAAGAAAACAAAGAUGUUAAGCUCAGUAACUUGUUCUUCACAAUUUUCAAGCUGUCUCCUAGCUCGAGGUUGAAAAUUGUAGAGAUUGCCAAUCAUUUCCAGUGACACAUUCCAUGAUAGCAUCUUUUUUUUUUUAUCAUAUACAGAUAUACUAUAUAUAUACAUAUAUAUUAAUCGUGCCUGUAUCAAGAUAACAAUUUCCCAUUAACUAUAAUUUGAUAAUUUUGAUCGGGUCAUUUGGUUAUUAAAGAUUUACCCCCUAUGUUUAGAAAUAUUUUUCACUUAUUAAAAAAAUAUAUUAGAUUUUAGUUACCAAUACAUUAUUUUCUGUAAUUAGCUAUUCUCCAUAACUUUUAACCAAUAGAAUUUUAAUAAACACAAUUAUGUUUUUUGAAAUUUACAAUUUGUAAUUAAUUUAUGUAGUGAAAAUGUAUUUUUUGAAACAAUUUUUUUUCUAAAACACAUUUCCUCCGUUUUAUUUUAGUUGUUGUUUUUAAGUUUAUGCACAAAGAUUAAUAAAACAUAUGAUUUUAUAUAUUUCCACACCUAACUAUAUUUCAACCAAUAUAAAAAUAAGUAGAAAAUUUUAUUAAUAAGUUUUACAUUGAAAUUCUAAAACAAUAUUUAUUUUGAAAUAAAUUUUUUUCUCUAUAACGAUAAUUAAAUAGAAAUGGAAGGAGUAUAUCUUUCGGUAACAGAAAGAGUGCGAUUUAUUUAUAUAUUUUACGCAUAACAAGCAAAUGGUUGAAUCGUCUUCCUCGAAUAUAUGCUUUUACAAAAAAAAAACAAGUAAUCACUGCAGACAAGAGGAAGGAGCAGAUCGGAACGCAACAAAACAAAAAAUACAAUUCUUAUUUAUACUUGUGGAAGGUCAUUUGUUAAUAUAACAUUCAAUUUGGAUAUAGAGAUUAAGCAAGUCAGUCCAUAAUUGGUAUUAUUUGUAUCCACCAAAGCUUUGGCUAUGAUUAAGGGAUGUGUGCAGAACAGUAUUAAAAGCAGAACGGACGUAAUUACAUGAAAUCACCAUUCAUCACAUCACUUUUGUGGAUUAGUAAACAGUAGUGGAGUCAUCUGCUCUACAGCUCUAUAAGUGGAAUCGCAAGUUUUGCAAUAUGCAACAUUUAAUAUUGCUUUAAAGCAAAAUAAAAAAAACAUUUAAUAUUUGCAAAAUCACUUUUGAAGGUGACAAUAGUCUGGUCCGUAACUUGAUCUAAAACAAAGAAACUUUAACCUACAGAACUGGAUCCGUGAAAUCAGAAUAACCUACAAAAGAAAGAAAAAUUAUAUUUUGUUGUUUAUUUUUAUGUUUGUCCUGUAUUUUAACAAUCUCCACGAGGAUUACUCAGUUUCAGGUUACCGUAAAAAAAAAUAGCAUUGUUCUACAGUUCUACUAGAGGCCCGAUCGAAAAAAGAAGAAGAAGAUAGGCAUGUUAAUUUUAUCCUAUUACAUUAUAUAUUAGAUAUACUACAGCCAAAAAAUAACUAGAUAUAUAUCAUAUAAUGUCUUGUUAAAAAUAAUAUUUAUAAAAUAUUUAUUUAAGGAAAAUAUAUUUAAAAUGAAGCUUAUGAUUUUGCAUUGACAAAUGUUUUGAAUUAAAAUAACACAAAUGGAUGUAAAUAUACUAAAACGACCAAAAUGGGAGGACUCGUGCGUCUUCUAGUGUUUGAUACUUAUAGUAUUUAUUUCUAUACAAAUCGAAUUAUCAUGUGCCAUGUGGUCGAGAGAACAAAGAGUAACACGAAAGGGAAUCUUUUUUCCUGUAAAGUGUAUUUUUCAAUAAUAUUGAUCACGUUAUUGUAUCUCUGGUCUAUUGCCAUGAUUACAUGUUUCUCAACUCUUCAUGGUUUAGUUUCACUUUUCCUCGGAAGUUACUCGUGCUAUAGAGAAAGUAUGAGUAUCCAAUGUAACAAAGAUUCCAAGAAAAAUCUAACUUAUACUGGAUUAAAAAAAAACAAUUCAAACCAUAUUUGCUGCAAAAUUAUAAAAUACAAAACUUUGUUUAUGGAGAAGGAAAAUAACAAAGUUAAAACUUUGUUUGCAGAUAAAUCUUCACUUUGGAGAGCAUCGUCAAAUUCACUUCUCUUGAUGCCUUAUGUAAUAAUAUAUAUGGCUUUCGGAAAAUUUGUCUACUGAUGUUGGUUUUCUUUGGUUAUUCCAAAUUUGUAUAAUGAGUUUUUUAUCUUUAAGAUCAAUAAAAUUCUAAUUUUGUCGGAAUUUCUUUUUACAAAAAACUACUUAUGAUACGUGGAUAUAUUUUGGUUGUAAAACUACAAAAGCAAACUGAAUCCAAGUAAAAAAAAAAACCAUAACAAACAAAAUUUUCGAUAAAGAUGUAUGCAGGGCUUUUAAUAUAUCUCACUGUAAUAUAAUGGGCUUUUAAAUGGGCUUUAAAGACCCAAAACAUUACACUAAAAACCUUCGAUCCAGCAAAGAAUCUCCCCGCCACGGUAUCGCGAAAAUCUACACCACCUUAUCCAAUGGGAACACAGACUCACUCCUCUCCUCUUCACCAUUUCCUUUCUCCCACCGCUGCAAUCAAAAUCGCGCCUUGCGCGACCCAAGUUUCUACAACUCAAUGGAGCUUUGUUCUUCAUCUUCUUCUCUCCUCCGCGUCUCACCCGAAAAACUCUCCUUCUCUUCCUCAAUCUCAAUCUCUCAGUUCCAGCUAAAGCCCUCGACUUUCGCCAAACCCAGACUCCGAAUCCACGCCUCCCUCGCUUCCGAGACUCAGGGCCUCCCACGAGACAGCCCUCAGCGUCUCCUCAAGGAGCUCGCCCAGCGCAAACAAUCCACCACCACUCCCUCCAAGAAGAAACUCCCUCCCAAACGCUUCAUCCUAAGGCCACCACUAGACGACAAAAAGCUAGCAGAGAGGUUCCUCAACAGCCCGCAGCUCUCUCUAAAGUCCUUCCCUUUACUCAGCUCCUGCCUCCCUCCUUCGAACCUCAACUCCUCCGACAGAACAUGGAUCGACGAGUACCUCCUCGAAGCCAAACAAGCUUUAGGCUACUCCCUCGAACCUUCCUCGACCCUAAGCGACGAGAAUCCUGCGAAGCAUUUCGACACGUUGCUCUAUUUAGCGUUUCAGCAUCCGUCGUGUGACAGGGCACGUGCGAGGCACGUGAAGAACGGGCACUCGAGGCUUUGGUUUUUGGGGCAGUAUGUGAUUGAGCUUGCGGUUACUGAGUUUUUCUUGCAGAGGUAUCCGAGGGAGCCUCCGGGGCCUAUGAGGGAGAGAGUGUUUGCCUUGAUUGGGAAGAGGUUUCUUCCGAGGUGGAUCAAAGCGGCUAACUUGCAGAAUCUUGUCUUUCCUUAUGAUGAUAUUGAUAAGUUGCUUAGGAAAGAUCGUGAGCCAGUGGUUAAGUAAGUUUCCUCUCUUGUUGAAGUUGCUUUGACCUGAGAGUUGAAUCUUUAGUCAAGAGUUUGAGUUUUUUAUCUGCUUUUGUUGUGACAUGAAGUGACUGUUGUCUGGUUCUCUUCAAAAGUUUGUUUAGGGAAUUAUCUUUAAUGUUUAGACAUGCCUAAGUUUUAUCAUACUCUCUCCUCUGUAUGUAACUUGGUUGCUAAGAUCAGCUAAGAUCACCUUUUUGUUGCCAAGAGCUUUUAGCUGAUUUGACUAUUUAUCUCUUAUGAUAAGUUCAAUAUAUCUGUUUGUCUGCUAUUAUUAGCAUAUAGUCGAAGUCUCGAAGAGUCUGUGCUUCCCAAUAUACUAAAGUGUUUCCUGUGAUGUGACAUACAUUUACUACUUAUCCAUAGUUUAGGUUGAUUUGAGCUGAGAAUUGGAUCUUAGUCAAGAAAUUGAGUUUGUUGUAGCAUGAACUGAUUGGUGUCUGAUUCUAUUCAACAACUUGAUUAGUGAAUUUACCUUUUAUGUUUAGUUGCUAAGAUCAUCGUUUGUUGCCAAGAGCUUUGAGCUGAUAUGAAUUUUAAUCUCUUUUGAUAUGUUCACUAUAUCUGCUUCCCAUUAUACUAUUUUGUAUGCCUGUGACAUAUACUUGCUACUUAUCCAUGUUUACUUUGUCUUGUUUUCACGCUAGAUCUGUGUUCUGGGCUUUGUUUGGUGCAAUCUAUCUAUGCUACGGGAUGCCGGAAGUGUACCGUGUGCUUUUCGAGGUGUUUGGGAUGGAUCCAGAUGCGGAUGAUUGCCAGCCUCGAGCUAGGAGACAGCUUGAGGAUGUAGAUUAUGUCUCUGUUGAGUUCGAAGGCAAGAAGCUAGGCUGGCAAGAUAUUGCUACUUACAAGGUAAAUGAAUCAAAAGCUAUAAAACACACUGUUUAAGUACUUAGACUGAUGAUGAUCACACUUUUGUUUGGUAAUGGUUUCUUCUAGCCUCCUGAAGAUGCUUUGUUCGCACACCCGAGGCUAUUCAGAGCUUGUGUUCCACCAGGAAUGCACCGUUUCAGAGGAAACAUUUGGGAUUUCGACAGCAAACCCAAAGUCAUGCAGGCCUUAGGUUACCCUUUACAGAUGAACGAUAGAAUCCAAGAGAUAACCGAAGCGAGAAACAUCGAGCUUGGACUCGGUUUACAGGUAAAGAGAUCAAUAAACUUUAUCACGCACUAUGUUAAACUUUCCUUCUUUUUAAUACUUUCACUUCCUUCAGCUCUGCUUCUUGCAUCCUUCAAAGCACAAGUUCGAACACCCUCGGUUCUGCUUCGAGCGAUUAGAAUACGUGGGGCAGAAGAUACAGGACAUAGCGAUGGCUGAGCGUUUGUUGAUGAAGCACCUGGACGCGCCUGGCAAGUGGCUGCAAGAGAAGCAUAGGCGUUUGUUGAUGAACAAGUUCUGCGGUCGGUAUCUGAGGGAGAAACGUCUUCACAACUUUAUAAUCUACUCGGAGGAGGUUCACGAUCGGUAUGAGCAUAACCGGAGACUUAGGAAUCCUGCGACGACAGCUGUUCAGCAAGCUAUUCACGGACUAGCGUAUACCGUCUAUGGAAAGCCUGAUGUUAGGAGGCUCAUGUUUGAGGUUUUCGACUUUGAGCAGAUUCAGCCUAAAGCUAUCGUCUGAAAAAGUCUAUUUUACGUGUAGCAUCUCCAUAUUUGGUAUAUGUUGGUGUAUUUAGAGAUACUUUAAAACAUUUGAUUUGACUAUUUACGUUUCUUUUUGAACUAGAGAGUUAAUCGUGUUUGAUCUGAAUCAAUUCAAAAAUGAAUAGUCUAAAAUUACGUGAUGAUUACAAGAUCAGAAAAUGAGAUGCAUUACAUUAAGCCUUUUGUUAUUUGUGUAGGGUGAGGGGAGCAAGCGAACCAAAAAUUCAAAUUCAGACAAUGGAGCUGCCAGGAGAAAUAAGCUAUAGGUGGUUUAACUCUCCUCUACAUUUUUAAACAGCCCAAGUCACUUAAUGGGCCUGUGGGCCUCAUGCAAGAAAGCUUUUCACAUAUCUAUAGCCCAAGAUAUUCAACCCUAAACGGUCACACAUCAGUUUUCCACCGUUGGAUGAAGACUCCAUCGGCGCCGUUCAAAUCAAAAUUAGAAAAAUCAGACCGUUGGGAGAGAAACCGCUCAUCUUCCUCAAGAAGCCUCCUUUAUAGAGGCCCCACUUUUAAUACUAAUCAUCGGAAGAAGAAGAAGAAGAAGAGAGAAAAUACUAACGAAAAUGAUGGCGUCUCGAUCGAUCGUUCCUCAGCAAACCACGGGUAAGACGAGUUCUGUUCUUGAAUUUCUUGUUAUAUCUAGUGAAUUAAUUUUUAAUUACCUGUGGUUGAUUUUGAUAAUUGAAUCUAAAAGAUGUGAACUUUGUUUUGUGUGAAGAAGGUGAUGUUGUUGUUAUAGUGGAAGACGAUGACAAGAACGCUGCGAAAGGAAGAAACCGUCAGGUUCUUCGUGAUAUAGGCAAUGUUGUUCGACGAAAUCACCCAAAGAACAACGACCCGGCUAAGACCAAUCAUCCUCGUACGCGGUCUCAACACGCCCCACUCGUUGAGGUAACACAUCUCAAAGUUUGUUCCUUUUUGUGUAGAUCUGAUAAUAAUAGCUCAUGUUAAUAUCGUUUUGGCAUUUGCAGCUUGUUAAACCUGUGGCGAGGAGAGUCGCUGUGGCGGUACCAAAGCCAAGGAAAAGAGCUGAGAAGCCAAAGGAUGUAGAGGUUAUAGAGAUAAGCUCAGACAGUGAUGAAGAACUUGGUUUAGUUGCUGUCCAGGAGAAGAAAGCCGCCGCAGCCGCUAAGAAGAAAACAACAGUCUCUUACACAUCUGUUCUCACCGCUAGAAGCAAGGUUAACAUUAGAGUAAUGAUUCUUUUCAUACGUUAAAUGUUUGGUCUGUUCUGAAAAUUUCUGUUUGCUAUUAUUCACAGGCUGCUUGUGGUUUAAAGAAGAAAGAAGAGAUUGUUGAUAUCGAUUCUGUUGAUGCUAAGAACGACCUUGCAGCUGUUGAAUAUGUGGAAGAUAUCUACAGCUUCUACAAGUCUGUUGAGGUUCGUACUUAACUUACUUACUAUACAUGAAUCUUUCCUUGUGACACUUGUAUUAAUGAUUCAACAUUGGCAGAGUGAAUGGCGUCCAACUGAUUACAUGAGGUCACAGCCUGAGAUUAACGAGAAGAUGAGACUGAUUCUCGUUGAAUGGUUGAUAGAUGUGUGCGUCAGAUUCGAGCUAAACCCUGAGACGUUUUACCUCACAGUUAACAUCAUGGAUCGGUUCUUGUCGGCUAAGCCUAUACCUAGAAAAGAGCUGCAGCUGGUUGGUCUCAGUGCUCUUCUCAUGUCAUCCAAAUACGAAGAGAUCUGGCCACCACAGGUGGAGGAUCUAGCUGACAUUGCAGACCACGCAUACAGUCACAAACAGAUUCUGGUGAUGGAGAAGACAAUACUGUCUACACUCGAGUGGUACUUGACGGUUCCGACACAUUACGUCUUCCUCGCACGUUUCAUCAAAGCUUCCAUUGCAGACCAACGAGUAAGAGAUCUUUUAUUACAGACUCUUCUUCCAUGGUUUUGUUAGUUUCUCAACUGGUUCUUGUUUUUAUGUCUUUCAGAUGGAGAAUAUGGUGCACUAUCUGGCUGAGUUAGGAGUAAUGCAUUACGACACGACCAUAAUGUUCAGCCCAUCACUGGUUGCUGCAGCUGCAAUCUACGCAGCGAGAUCAGCUCUUCACCAAGUUCCCGUUUGGACUAGCACUCUCAAGCAUCACACCGGCUAUUCUGAGACUCAGCUCAUGUGAGUGUGUAAAACAAAAGAUCCUUUCCAUUUUUCUCCAUCUUCAUCAAGCUGAUGAUUGUUUUACAAUGAUGAUACAGGGAUUGUGCGAAGCUAUUGGCGUUUCAGCAGUGGAAGCAGCAGCAGCAACAAGAAGAAGGGAGUGAGAGUAAGAAGGGAGCUUUACGAAAGAAGUACUCCAAGGAAGAAAGGUUCGGUGUGGCUAUGAUCCCCCCGGCCAAAUCUUUGUUGACCGGAACCGACUCUGCUUAGGAGUUUAUAAAGAAGAUGAAAUAAUCUACUACUAGAUAUGGCUUUUCAUUAGAUUUAAAGUUUUGUAUAAGUCUAAUGAGUUACUUUGAAAACAUAUAUUCUCUAUUGAAUGAAUCCAAAUGCUUCUUAUCAUCAUGAUUCGUAUCUUUUAGUUGCGUCUCAAGAACAAACGAGGAGUUAUAUAACUUAUAAAUAAACCGACCGGUCGAGAUUUGGUUCAAUUCUCUAUUCAAAGAACCUUUUGUUGCCGCUUCAGCAUUGGCAUCAAGGUUGGUGUUCGAGCUCAAUCUUUUCUUGACAUGUGUAUGCCACACAUUUUUUUAUCUCGUUGUCAGUUCGUUCUGGCAAUUUAGAAGCAAUCUUGGACCACCUGAAACCAAAAUGAAGGAAAGCUAUUGUCAGGACAGAAUCCAAACGUUGAGGCAAGACAAGCCACCAACAAGAUAACACAUACUUGCUUCCAAUGCUCUGGUGAAGUUUAACGAUGGUUUCUUCUUCCUCUACGCUGAAAUUUCCACGUUUCACAUCAGGUCUGAGAAGACGACAACUCAUGCCACACCUCAACAAUCCUUCAUUCAUUACAUGCAUACAUGGAUAGACAUAAGAUUACAGAACCAGAAGAUUUCAAAAAGCCUAAGGAAGACCAAGGCUUUAAGAUCAGAAACAUUACCAGCUUGGUUAGGGAGAGAUCUCCAGUUCUUAUGACCAUACUUUCUGAAUGAAAGAGAUGAGUUUCAGGUCUUCGUCGUAGCUCCAUGGUCCUCUCUUCACUUUGGUUUUGUCACAACAUGGCGCUCUUCCUUUGCCCAUUUUCUCUACUCUCUCUCACACACACUUUUGAGUUUCCUUUUACCAAAUCAAGUUGGUCCUAUGUGUAUUUAUACAAGAAAUUGGUGUGUGUUCCUGACUUUUAGAAAUAUGUUAUAAACAAAAGACAAUGACAAUGGUCAAAUCAGAUUUGUUUAAAUUAAUUACUAUCUAUAUUUGUGGUUGAAUGUCACAUGAUUCCUUCUUUCCUAAUUAUACACUUACCAUUUGUAUGUCAAAAUAAAUAGUAAUUAUGUUAUAAAAUAUUUUCCCACAUUGCAUUAUCAAUAUGUUUUGAAAUUUCAGUUGAGUCUCACAAUUCCUAGUCAAUCUAAAACAUCUUAAAAUGCCUAUGAUGAUAUAAUUGUGAUUAUGUCGUUCUAUAAAAAGAAUUGACUAUUAUUAGAGAUAAAUUUCUCUGAUACUUAUCUUUUGUUUUUUCAUGAUUACUAUUAGAGAUAAAAAUUGCUCUAAAGUUCAUUACUUUUCUUUAUGCCAAUGAAGGGAAGAAAUGCCAUUCUUUGAGGUUUGCUUGACUUGAAUGUGAAUUGUGAGACAUGUUCCUUCUACUCCCAACCCUUUUUCUACUUGGGUCAAGUUAACCAAGCCAACUUAACAUAACUAUCUUGGACAUUAAAAUAUAUUUAUCUUUAUAUCUAAUUUGGAUAUUUUUAUUUGUAUGGGGAUGUAGUUUAUACGACAGUAGAUAGAUAUCAUGCGUUUAGAAUCACAGUAUCCUGAAUCGAUCGGAAGGUUAAUAAAUUCACUUUCAAUUGAUUAUAUUUAAAGUGUAUAAUUGUUUGCUUUAUAUAUUAACUGUAGUAUUUUAUGACAAGUAAGUAUAUUCAAUUCGAUUUUUGUAGGUGCAUAGAAAAUUAUAUUUAAAGUAUAUAAUUGUUUGCUUGAUCAAAUGUAUGUCGAUAGACGUUUUUUUUAAUUAUUUGGAACUACUUUAUAUAAAGACAACUACUUUAUGCAUGAUUUUUGUUUAACCAUUCAAUUUUCUCUAAAUAGGAGAUCGACGAUAAAAUCUUCAAAUGGAAUGGCGAAUUGGCGAAAGUGGAACAACAAUAUUCAUCUUAUAUUGUACAUUACUAGUACAUUUUUAGAAACAUACCGAUAUCAGUCAACAAUAUACCAAGACUUGACUGAAAGAUUGGAGAAUGGAUGUUACAAAGGUAGAAAUCUUAUCCUGAUGUCUGGUGAUAGGUAAUUUCGCAGCAAAUUGGAGCUUUUGUCAACUUCAUUAAAUCGGGAUACUGUGGUUUACUUAACAGCCACGCUGCAUCUGUCAACAUAACUACAGUUUUCCUGGGAGCUCCGAUAUGGCAUUGUGUCCUAAAAACGGCAUCACAAAAAAAAAAAGAGAGAAAAAUGCCAAGAAGGAUAAGAAGAAUAUCAUUUUGGAAACCAGCGACGACGAAAUGUGAAGACGACCUGAACUAUUAUUACUAAUUUUAUAUUAUGUAGCUGAGACUUGUUGAGCGAUGAGGUAGUCAUAGAAAAUUGAGUAAUGGUUUCUUUGUUCUUGCAAUUCUAAAAAUCGGUCUAGGCGGCGCCUAGGCCCCCGCAUAGGCGGCAACUUGGUCUUAUCCGAAAUGAUUUUCUUAAAAUCUAAUUUAUACCGAUUUAUAUGAUUCAAAUUGCUUUAAACUGUUCUAAAUCAGUUAAAAUUGGUUAAAAUCGAUCUAAAAUUGUCUAUAUAUGUUAAAUUAAGCAAUAAUAUUUUUACAAAUGUACAAAUUUGUCUACUUUCUUCUGUUUUGUAUAUCUAAUUUUGAUAAUUUCAUCACAAUAAUUUUAUAAUUAAACUUAAAAACUAAAAUAUGUCAUACAAAUGUAUAAAAUAUAUAAAAUAAAUCAAUAAUUUGAUAACGCCUAGGCCUCGUCUAGGCCCCGAAUAAUCCGCCUAGUCGCUAGUCUUCUAUAAAGCGCCUAGUUACCGCCUAGCGAUUUUAGAACAUUAUGCAAAACAAUUAUAUUAUGGGCUAUAUAAACUUAUGGACCAACCAAAGAUUUUUUAUAUUAUCAUAAUAUGAUUUAUAAGCAAUUAAUUAACAAAAAUUCUUAAUCUAUACUAUAUUAAAAUUGAAACUAUAAGCCAAAUCGCCAAUCAUAUUAUGACAAAUUAUCAUGUUAAUUUGUUAUUUCUAAAAAUGUUUAUAUUACCAAAAAUCAUUUAUUUCAAAAUAAAAUGUAAAUCAAUGUCAAAUAUAAAAAACUUACAAAAGUAAAAAUUAUUUAGAAUCUACUAGAACUUUUUGUAACUCUCAUAAUGACGAUGAUUCUUUGUUAGCAUAAAGAUCGACUUCAUCUUCUUGAGAGUCUUGAUGGAGUCAAAUUUGUUUAAGGUUUGUUAGAAUGAAUCUGAACCAUUAAUGGAACUCCAUGUGUCAGGAUCUAAUCAAGAAGUAUUUUCCAUCAGCUCUCGUUUGUAACAUCCUCGUAAAUCCGUUGUAAUCUUGUAAAUAUUCAAACGUUCAUCCUCUUUGCUUAAAAUGUUGGAACCAGUAGAAGGCAUUAGGACAUGACUCUUUAAUUGGGAGAGGCGUAGUAUACUGGGCCGGGGCCCAUUUUAAAAAACAGCGAUGAUGAUUAGUGGGCUCGCACACGUGAGAGGAGACUUGACACGUGUGGGCAUUUUCACUCUUUUUUUCCCUCAAGGAUUUGAUUUCCACCACAGGAAGAAGCACCCCACCCCACCCUCUCUUCCCAAAAGUCUUCGCAGUUUUCACCACUCUUUGUAGUUCCCGUUUUACCCCGGGCAUCGGAGGCGGGCGCGCUCGUAGCUAAUGGAGACGGCGGCGGCAUCGGAGCGAGUCGAAUUGGCGAAGCACUGCAGCUCGCGGAACUGGUCUAAAGCGAUUAGAGUUCUCGAUUCGCUCCUUGCUAAGCAGUGCUCGAUUCUCGAUAUAUGGUUGGUGUUCGCUGAUCUUCAAUUCAAUUCAAUUCAGAUCGGUAUCAAUUUUGAUUCUCUAUUUCAAUUUCAGCAAUCGAGCUUUUUGUUAUAAUCAAUUGGAGCUUCACAAGCAUGUGAUUAAGGACUGUGACAAGGCACUUCAGCUCGACUCUUGUGCCAUUCAAGCUUAUCUACUCAAAGGUUAGCUCAGCUUUUGAUUACUCUGGGAUUGAGUAAGCUUUGAGAAUCAUUGGUUCUUCAUGUAUGUAGGACGAGCUCUUUUGGCUUUGGGGAGAAAACAGGAAGCUCUUCUUGUUUUGGAGCAAGGUUACAAUAUUGCUUUGCAGCAGACUUCAGAUGUGAAGCAGCUACUUGAAUUAGAUGAGCUACUUAAUGCUGCAAGGCCAGAGAUUGAUGUCACUCUGAACCAUCUUGCAGCUGAGACCCCUGUCUCCUCGUGUGCUACUCAGAAAAUUGAUAACUGCCAAGUAUCCACUAGUAUGGCAGUUUCUGAAUCAGGAGCAUGCAGCAACGGAAACACCCAUGAGUUGGGUGAGAAAUCAAUGGAUGCAUCCAAGCUAUCUGGUGGUGCCUCCGAGUUACGUAAUGGAUUAGCGUAUAAGGAAAAAGAGAAUGUAAAUUCUGGUAGCCAAAUCAACGGUAAACCAUCUAGUAAUGGUUCUGAAACUUCUGAUCGAUUAGGGGAUCUCUCGGUUAUUGGAAAUAAGUUAAGUAGCAAGUCCGGAUCUGUUAGCAAACAGAGCCUUACAGCUGAGGCACGUUCUGGAGGUAGCAAUGAAACCAAGAUAAAUAAUAACAAGUGCACCAUUGCGAGAAUAUCUGAAACCCACUCUAUAAGUGUGGAUUUUCGACUUUCCAGAGGCAUUGCACAGGUAUAGAGAUAGCAUUACAGAAAAAAAAAAUAUCUAUAUAUAUAAGAAAGUGUAUUUUACGUUGUAUCUUACUGGUGUUGAGGUAUUUAGCUUACAAACUCUUAAUCACUGGGCUCUUAGGUGAACGAAGGAAACUACAUGAAAGCUAUAUCUAUUUUUGAUAAGGUGAUUUUUCAUGUACUCCUCUUUUGGUGAUUUUUAUCUCUGGCGAGUGUCUUUUGCUUUUCGUUUCACUAGUUUACCUUGUUCUUAGAGGUUGUUUGGUAGAAAAGAAUGUAUCAGUUUUUUUACCAUUUUAGUUUAUCUUUGUGCACUGCGUAGGUUCUGAAAGAAGAACCUACUUACCCUGAGGCACUUAUAGGAAGAGGGACAGCUUAUGCAUUCCAACGAGACCUUGAAAAUGCUAUUGAUGAUUUUACUAAGGUAUUAUUCGUUUAUUUGACAAGAGUUUUUACCACAGUGGGUUAAGUUCACAGAUUCUUCUCCUAUUGGUCAGGCUAUUCAAUCGAACCCGGCGGCAGGUGAGGCUUGGAAGCGGAGAGGACAGGCGCGUGCUGCUCUUGGGGAAUUUGCUGAGGUUAGUGGUUCCACGUUUUCUCUGUUUCUGUUUUUAUUCAGAGCUAAAAGCAUAGACAUUAAAUGUAUUUGAUGGGCCUAUAUUCGCGCCUUCACAUUCAUUGAUUGAUAAAAAAUAUUUUCUGAUUGAUAUUCAAUCAUUUGGAUUAUCUCUAACUGAUGUCUGUUUUAAAGCCUAUUUAGUGCUUGCAUUUUAUGGGUAAAAAAUCAGAUACGUUUCCUGUACACACUCUUAAGCUACUCUUUGGUGAUAGGCGGUUGAAGAUUUGACUCGAGCACUGGAAUUGGAGCCAAAGUCACCUGAUAUUUUGCAUGAAAGGGGUAAGUGUCUUUAUGAUGUAUUUACUUUUAAAUCUUGCUACCUAUUUCAGUUUUGACAUCUUAAUAACUGCAUUCAGGUUUUAUUACCACUGACUUUCUCAAUUAAUUCAGGUAUUAUUAAUUUUAGAUCUAAGGACUUUACUGCUGCUGUAAAGGACUUAUCUAUAUGUCUGAAGCAAGAGAAAGAUAACAAGUCCGCAUAUACUUAUUUGGUAAGGCUAUCGUCUGUUGUUAUUCUUGGUCUCCGAAGUGACCAUGACCAAGUCUACAAAUGUUUUCUUAACAAAACUUUGCUGAUCUUUCCAGGGACUAGCUUUUGCAUCUCUUGGUGAAUAUACAAAAGCUGAAGAGGCGCAUUUGAAGUCUAUCCAGCUAGAUAGUAAUUAUCUUGAAGCAUGGCUACAUCUCGCCCAGGUAACAUGCAUAACUAGUUUAUAAUUAUGCGUUUUCUGUAGAAUCUUUAACUAUUUAGCUUGACUGUCAUGAAAUAGUAUUUUGUUAAUUGCUUAUUCUUUCUUUCUUUUUUCAAUCUGGGUUUUCAUGCAUAUGAUGAUAAAUAAACGAAGUUAGAUUUCUGUAAAGCUAACGAGACUUCACUGUACUUGAUGUUGUUUCUUGGCUUUUCUUGGCAGUUCUAUCAAGAGUUGGCUGACCACAACAAGGCUUUGGAAUGCAUUGAUCAAGUUCUACAAGUCGACAACAGGUAGCUCUUAAUUGGGAUGAACUAUCACAUGUUGCACACUAUUUUGGGUUCGCCAUCGUAGUCAUGGAGAUUUUCCUGUCUUGACCAGGGUCUGGAAGGCUUAUCAUUUGCGUGGAUUAGUGUUCCAUGGAUUAGGUGAACACAGGUAUGUAUCGCUAUUCGCUAGUUAGACUAAGAUUACUGGAAAGUGAAAAUUUGGUUAAAGGGGAAAAUAUACCUUUGUUAAUGUGCAUGUUACCCAACUCUCCCUACUUCGAGAUAUGAUGUCUAAUAAGAUUUUCUUCCCCUUGCUCGUGGUGUUAAAAUAUCUGCGUUUGAGCAACAGGAUGUUCUAACGGAAACUGAUAAUUUGGUGGUCAUAAUCACAUUGGAUUUAUCGACAAGGAUAGUCUUUAAAGCAGUAAUAUUAUUAACAUGUAGUUGUUUGUGGUAAUUUUAUUUUUUCAGGAAGGCUAUCCAAGAAUUAUCUAUUGGUUUGACCAUUGAGAGUUCAAUAGAAUGCUUGUACCUACGAGGUUCCUGCCAUCAUGCUGUAGGGGAGUAUAGAGAAGCGGUAAAUGAUUAAAUAUUUAUAUGUCAACAUUAUUGCUGCAGUUUAUAAGGAGACUCUCUUAUUAUUACUCGCAUAUCCUCACAGGUGAAGGACUACGAUGCUACAGUGGAUGUGGAACUUGAUGCUGUGGAGAAAUUUGUUCUUCAAUGCUUGGCAUUUUAUCAGGUUCCAAAAUAUGUUUUUCUUUGUUAAUAAUCCAGAGGUUGCCUUGAUUGAAAGCUUAAAUUGAAAUGUUAUGUGCAAAAUUACUGUCUUGGUACAUUCUCUUUGUAGCAAACCUGUAAUGAUAGGAUAUUGCGUUGCUACUUUCUAAUAGCAUGGCCUUAUUUAUCUGAUAAUACUGCUUCGUUGUUUCUUUGUACGUUAAUAUUGGAUGCUUCAUAUGUUGCAACGCUAAACAUUUCCUUCACAAUUAAUAGAUAUGUUAUCCUUUUUUUAUCCCGCAGAAAGAGCUCGCCUUGUAUACGGCUUCCAAAGUUAGUAGUGAGUUUUUCUGCUUUGAUAUUGAUGGUGACAUAGAUCCAAUGUUCAAGGUGAUAUAUCUCUGUCGAUAUUUCUGAUAUCUCCGUUAUGAGAUGACUAUGAGUGCUCUCAAGUGAUGUAUGUGAUUUUCUUUUCCUGUGGGUUUACAGGAGUACUGGUGCAAAAGAUUACACCCAAAAGAUGUAUGUGAAAAGGUUUACAGACAACCUCCCCUACGAGAAUCCCUUAAGAAGGGUAAACUGAAAAAGCAAGAUCUUGCAAUAACCAAACCUAAGGCGAAUCUUCUUCGUUUUACUGAUAUGAUUGGAAAGAAAAUCCAAUACUUUUGUCCUGGAUUCUUACCGAACAGACGCCAGGUAACUUGGAGUAGCUACCUCAACAUUCUCUUUUUUCUUGUCCCAGAAGGUCCCUGCUGCAUCUAUCUAUCUAUAUAUAUAUCCCCUCUAUACUCUAUUAUGCAUAUAAUUGUACGCCUAGCCUCUCCUGGCUAAACUAUCAUGGUUACGUCCCAUUAAUCAUUUGUGUUUCCAUGAUUUUCCAGCACCGUAUGGCGGGAUUAGCUGUGUUAGAAAUUGCUCAAAAGGUUUCAAAAGCUUGGCGCAUAGAGUGGAGGAAUUCAAACAAAGGCACGGCAAAAAAUGGGAAGAAAAACCGUAGGAGAGAGAGAAUCAACAUGCUUAGCCAGAAUAGAGGUGGUGCCGGAUGUAGUACGAGCACUUCCAGUGAAACUUCAACUGGAUAUGCCUCACUAGAAGAUCGAUCAUCUGGCCGCUCUAUCUUGUCUUGGCAAGACGUUUAUUCGUCUGCUGUCAGAUGGAGACAAAUUUCAGAGCCUUGUGACCCAGUUGUGUGGGUUAACAAACUAAGGUACAUGUUCCAUUUCGAUUGCUAUAUAAGUAGGUGUAUCUAAUGAUUCUUAGAACAGAAGCCUCUUGCCAUCUUUAAGUCUCUGAGCUUCAGUUUCUGAACUUAACUUUCAUUUGAUUAUUUAUGCAAUUUGCAGCGAAGAGUUUAAUUCUGGUUUUGGUUCUCAUACGCCAAUGGUACUCGGACAAGCUAAAGUAAUACGCUAUUUUCCAAAUUAUGAAAGGUACAAUGUUUACAUAGAACGUGAGCAUUUUUUCAUGUAUUCAUUCGUGGAUUUUUCUCUCUCCCAUGGAAUGAUCAAUUUCCAUAAUAUACUAUUGUAGAACCCUGAAUCUUGCAAAGACCAUCAUCAAGGAGAAGCUCUGUGUACGCAGCAAGGCAGAUAAAGUGAUUGAUCUAUCUAAAGAUGAGAAGAUAGAAGAAGUCAGUCUUUCUAUUCUUCGUGCGUGAAUGUGAAUGAGUCUCGUUUAUCAUAUUGUUAUCUUACUGAAAUUGGCCAAUGGGAUGCAGAUAAUGCGUGCAGAAACGUGUGAAGAGCUACACAAAAUUGUUGGUGAGGAUUUCUGGGUGGCUACUUGGUGCCACAGUACCGCAUUCGAAGGGUAAAAUUUGUUUGUUUAUUACUAUAAAACCACAAGUCUUCUCUUCACCGUUGCAGUUUUUUUUAACCUUGACUAUGCUUCCUCUUUUGGUUACUAUCUUCAGGAAACGCCUUGAAGGAACUAGAAUCACCUGCAUUAAGAAACCGUAAUCUAUCCUUCUACGCCAAUCAUUUUCACAUAAACCCUGAUUACCACUUUCUUCAAUUAAUAUCUCUUUGUUCUCUUAAUCCAGGGGAAGUCUUGGGUAUGAUUUUGCAAUUAGAACUCCAUGCACACCUGCGAGGUGGAGUGAUUUUGAUGAAGAAAUGACCUCAGCUUGGGAGGUAUAACACACCUAAGCAUUAUAGUUUACUUUUAUUUUCUUCAUUCCGAGAAAACAAACUUCAAAAAUCUCCAUAUGAAUCCCACAGGCUUUAUGCAAUGCCUACUGUGGAGAGAAUUACGGUUCUACCAACCUCCAGGCUCUAGAAACCGUGAGAGACGCUAUCUUGCGCAUGACAUACUACUGGUAAACUAAUCAAACUUAAAACAUAUGGUUACUGAUUGAUUACUCAGAACGUGUUGGGUGUUUGUCUUUGGCAGGUACAAUUUUAUGCCGUUAGCUCGAGGGACAGCGGUAACGGGAUUCGUAGUGUUACUAGGACUUCUGCUAGCUGCUAAUAUGGAGUUCACUGAGAGUAUCCCUAAAGGGUUACAGAUCGAUUGGGAAGCUAUACUUAGUGUUGAACCUGGUUCCUUUGUUGGUUCGGUUAAGUCUUGGUUAUACCCGUCUUUGAAAAUCAACACCUCGUGGAAAGAUCACCAGGAAGUUUCCUCGGCUUUUUCAACAACCGGAUCGGUUGUCGCGGCGCUUAGCACUUACAAUGAUUGAGUUUCACAAUCUUGUCUCUUCAUGUCGUAAGAGGUGAAGAAAGCUAACCAACCAGAAUGAGCAGCGAGAAAACUUGUGUUUCAGUCAUAAAUCUUCGGGUUUAUGAUAUGUUUGUGUCGUAGAAAACAAACAAACAAAAUUGAUAGGUGUUUUUUCUUUAUUUUACAUAACUCAUAUAACUUUAUUUUACAGUUUGAAUAAUGUAUCUCUAUAUUAUAUGAACUCUCUUUGCAAAUCACAAGUCCACAUGAGUGUGUUGCUUAUGAUUAGCGAGGCCUUGUACUAUUACUAGUCUAAAAUAAUGGCAUUCACCAUUAAUACCGUGAUUAGUAUGAAGCUUGUUUAUUCUGAAAUUAUAUUCCUGAUUGUUUUUUUUUGUUUUUGUUUUUGAAAAAGGGCUUACAAAUUUUUAAUUGUUUUUCAUCCCAAAUACUAGUUUGUUUAAGAUUUGAGUCAAAACCUGUAAGAAAGUCAACGGACGAGCCAUUCGGUUUGGGUGUUCUCCACCACCGACAGGGCCGCUCUCGAAGUUUCGGCUUGGGUCCAUUGUCUUUACUCUGGAACACUUUUGUAAUAAAAUAAUAUCAAUCUUAAUGCUUCUGUUUCAUAAAAAUACAUGUUUUAGAAAAACAAAACUAUUCCAAAAAAAAAAUAUAUAUAUAUUUAGUGCAUAUUUUAUUAAUUAAUUAUGAUUAAUUCCAGAUUUCAGAUUUCACAAAAUUUAAUUACACUUAUUAAAUAUUUAUUGGUUUAAAAUAAUAAAAAACCAUAAUCAUAAAAAUUCAUAUAUAUAUAAAUAAGAUUUAAUAUAUUUUAUUAAUAUGUGUGAGAAAAUUAAAAAUAUGUAUUUUUUGAAAUAAAUAGAGUACUAAAUUAGUCAUUGGAAAAAUGGUAAGAAGCAAAAUCUUAAUUCCUAAGCAAUACAUGUCUUCGUAGACAGUUGAUUCGGUUUCCAUUGCUGUAUGCAUAUUUAUUUCCAAUCUAUCGAUUACUCAAUGCUCAUGGGAUGAGGAUUUAAGGAAAAUAAGUUUUUGAAAAAUAUAAUGAAUGAAAGUGUUAGUUGUUAUAGAAGUCAUAAUGAGCUGUAAUUUUUUAAAAUAAUGCAAAGAAAUAAAUUUAGGAAAAAAAUAUUUUCUACCAACACAAAAAGGAAAAGAAAAUUUGAGAAAGAUAGACAAUGCCAAAAAUAUUAUAUUAGUAAUUGAAAGAAAUCUUGAUAUUACUGCUAGAGGAGAUGUAUGUGUGGUAUCAAUCAAUGAUUUGUCUUUCCCUCUAUACAUUUCAACCAAAUACAUUGUUUGUUUAAACAUUUUUAUUUUUGCAUUUUUCGUUGUUUUACUAGAUUAAAUUAUUUUAUUUUGCAUAAGAAUUUACAUAAUUUUUAUCAUGGACAUUAUAAUAGUUUUAUCACUGAUAAUAUUUCCACACUUGUCAUGAAAAUUAGACACUUAAUUUUUUUUUUUGAUAAAAAAAUAUCAGACAAUUAUAAUAGAAUAAAAUAACUGUAAAAAUAAAGCUAGUGAACCCUACAUAAAUAAAAUACAAAAAAGAUAAAGCUAUCGAACGGCAUUUACAGGAUAUAGGUCUACACUCAACGGCUACAUCUGUCGGUGAUAUUUUUCUGAUCAACGGUCCGAAUCUCUUUUCAUCGACUAUAUAUUAAACACAAACCAUUCUCUUUCACCAACACACAACACUAUUGAUCAAAAUCAUUUACUUUUACAUCCUUCACUCAUUUAUUUUUUAAGUUCUUUUCUUCUUUUUUUUAUUGAAAUACUAAAAGAAACAUGGAACGUAAUGUCCUCCUAACGGUUACAUUGAUCUGCAUUGUCGUCGCCGGUGUCGGUGGCCAAUCUCCGGCUUCCUCUCCGACUAAAUCUCCCGACGCUCCUUCUACUCCAACUACUUCUCCCUCCUCCCCACCCGUGGAAGCACCGAAAUCUCCAUCUCCUGUUACCUCGUCUCCGCCGCCAGCUUCUGUUCCCGAGAGCGCUCCUCCGUCACCUCCACCAAAGGCUUCAGCUCCGGUGAGAUCUCCACCGGCUUCAGUACCCGAAGCUGCUACACCUCCAGCUCCGGUAGCCGAUGCACCGGCUCCAAGCAAGGGUAAGAAGCAUCAAAACGCGACGGCUCCGGCUCCCGAACUUGACAGCCCACCUUCACCACCGAUGGAAGCUCCUGGUCCUAGCUCCGACGCCGUGUCUCCUGGUCCGGCCACAUCCGCCAACGAAAAGGUAAACUAGCAUAAUAUUAAAUCAACAAGUAUUGAAACAUGAAAACAUUCAUUCUCCUUUUAUUAGUUUAAAAAGAAAACAUUCAUUUCAACAUUCGUUGUAAUUAUGUUGUAUAUUAAUAUGGAAUUAUGAUUAAUGCAGAGUGGAGCCGAGAGCACAAGUGUAUUGCGGAAUUUAGCAGCGGUGGGAGCGGCUGCAACCGCCUGGGCCGUUCUCGUUAUGGCCUUUUAAAUUAUUUUAGUUAUCAUUUCGCUCCUUCAUUUGUAGCUUCUUUUUUUUGAACCAACGAUUGUCUUUUCGCGUUUGAGUGAUGAGUAUUAUUUAAUUGAUUAUUACAGUUUGUUUUCUUUAUUUUCAUUUGGCAGACAAAUUGAUUUUUCUUAUUUUGGCAGCCAAAUAGUCUUCUUUAGUGAUGGGUCCGAUUUCUUCAUCGAAAAUGACACAUUAAAAUUUGAUGCAGAACUAAUAUAUCAAACUGUGAAAUUGUUCUAAUGUUUAUUUCAACGUAUAUGAACAAUAAGCAAAUCAGCGUAACUGUUUUUAGAUGUUUAUAUUGCUGAGUGCAUUAACUAAUUUACUGAUACCACAUGUGGAUGCAAGACGUAUUAUGGAAGGCGUAGGUUCAUUUGCCUCCAAUAGAUUUAAAUUUUUUUUUUUUUGUAAAUUUCGGAUGAUUGAAGGGUCCGAUUCUCUGAAUGCCAAAUUGUCUCUACUCAAUUACGAUUCUUUCUAUCAAAUCCUUGUUUUUCCUUUUCUUUCAAAAUUCAAAUAUUUGUUUCCUAGCUAUCCUAAAAUAGCUACAUUGAACGCUACUAUAUGUCUCGUUUUCUAUAAAUAUCUAUAACUCAUUGAUGUAACAUAUUCUGUAUACGAUAACAUAUCUUAAAUUUUUAUGCUCCCAGUAAUAUAUAUUGUUAAUCUGUCAAUGCGAAUCAAAAUUAAUACAUGAUAUUUUCCUUGCUAAACUUUUGGUUAGUUUCUUCAAAUGACCAAAUUAUUAUACCAUUUGAUUGAAAGUACAAAGAGAGAGGAAGGGUGAGAAGUACACUUUAUUACCGUACUUUGAUUAAAAUUACAUUACUGCAUUUUGAAUAAUGAAAUACUAGGGUAAGACCCAGGAAUGAACAUUAUAUAUCAAAUAUUUUUAUGUAUUAUGUGAAAUAAUAAAUAUAUAUAUUAAAUAAUUAAAAAUUCAGUAACUAUUACGUAUAUAAUUAAAUUGGUGCAAGAACAUAAAUAAAUUUUUUUGAUCCAAACAAACACUUUUUCUAUUUGCUAUGAUAUAUAAUUAAAUUUAAAUAAUAUUAACAAAAAUAUAUAAUAUUUUUUAAAUAUUAAUAUCUAUUAAAUAAUAGUUUCUACUCAUAUUGAUUUUUGAUCAUUUGUAAGAGUGCUAAGAUUAAUAUAUACAUAUAUUUUAGCUACAUUAAGCAAUUUCAAAAUUAAAUUAUUUAUGUAUUCUUAUAUGGUAUGAUAGUUUAAUUUAAAUGAUAUUAAUAUAUUCAUAAAUAUAUGUAUACAUUAAUUUUAAUAUUUACAUAAAUAUAUGUAUAUAUUAAUCUUAAUAUUUAUUAAAUGAGAUCUUCUUGUAUCUUGUCAUAAUAAAAAUUUUAAACCAUAGAUCACAUAAAUUUUAAUAUGAUAUUUUUAACAGUUUUAGUAAUUUAUAGUCUUUUUAAAAAAAAAUCAAAAUAUAACAUAUAUGGAAAAUCUAAAUUUUUUUAUGGUUAAUGUUAUUGUUUAAUAUAUUUUAAUAAAUUAAAAAAAUUUAAAAAUAAUAAAGAAUACACUAAUUUUUAUCAAAUCUUUAUUAUUCAAAAUCAUUAAUUAUCAUAUAUAUUUUAGCUAUAUUAGCAAUUUUGUAAUUUUUUAUUUAAGGAAAGAAUAAAAAAUUAAUAAUUUAUUUAUGGUUAGUUUAGUAGAAUUUUAUUUUAUUGUGGAGAUUGACAUAUGGAUACCUCAAAUGUUGUAAAUACUUUUAUUUUUGUAUACAAGAGAUAUUCAUAGAGAAUAGUAGGUAAACUCAAUUUUCAAGCAAAGUUAUUCUAAAAGCUUAAAAAGUAUUUAAAGACGUUACAAAAGACUGUCCACACAAAUAAAAACGUUACAGACCAAAGAGAACAUCUUUUAAUGAAAAUGCCUUUGUUGUUGUUAAGUUUUCCAUGGGAAAAAGUUUAGUAGAAUAUGAACAAAAGCUUAAUCUUUCAGAUUAAGUAAAGUGUUAUAAUAAUUCUUGUAAUUAAUUAAUACAAACUAGAUAAAUAAUUUUGUUAGUGAGCUUAAAUCAAAGGCUAAAAAAAAGUUAUUUUUAUCAUCUUUAACUUUUAGAAAGCACAAGUUAUACUUAAACCAAGGUCUUGUGCAUGAGAUUUCGAGAUUCUUAGCUUUGCAAAAGACCUAAACCCACCAAGCCAAGCCACUGAUUCCUCCACAUCAAAUACAAAUAUGCAUGACAGUUCACUAUCAUAUUUCUUCUUUAGACUAUCUUCUAGACGAUAUGGGAGGUUCACUGGGCUUUCUCGGAAAAGGUUUUGUGUUUCUUAACCUAACAAUCAAUGAUUAACAUUAUAUAAGACCGUUUUAAUGGUAUUCCUUUUAUUUAUUAGAAAGAAAAAUAAGUUUUUCGGUAUUUUUUGGCAUAUAGGGGUACCACCGACGCAGAUGAUGAAUAUGGUUAUGGGUUCACUCUACAAACAAUUCACCAAGAAAGCUAUCAACAACUUUGACGACUUCCACGUUGCUGUUUUAGACAUCUUCAAGUAAGAAUCACUCGAUGGUUACAUUCCAUUUGAUCAGUUCUUCUUUAGAUAAGAUAUAUGAUCAACAAUAUAACUAUAUGUUUGAUGUGUAGCAACUUCAACUCGGCUUUACCAGGCCGACACUUUGAUCUCCCGACACCUGACGAAAUAAAGGCAAGAAUUGACCUUUUUAAUUCUCCACGUAAAAUUGUUAACGAAUGAAUGAAGCCCAAGUUAUCGCCAAUUUGUUUUAAAUUAGUCCAUAAGAAACUUUAAAUCAUUAUAACUAUUUUCUCUAAUACAAUGUUGAUUAAGUUAGGCAUGUUUCUUGGGGUGGAAGGAAGCUAAAGACGAGGAAGAGAAGAAGAAAGUGUUCACAGAGUUCAUUGCAAAGAAAGUGAAGCCAAGUAAACUCGAUGACGUCACUAUGAUCACCGGAAUAGCAUCUCCUCCGGCGGCUAUGGCGGCUAAGAGAGCAGGAGAGAAUAUUCCUCAACUAAAGUUCAUCAAACUUAUACCUGAUGUUAUAUUCGUCCCUACGGUCACCAUUUUGGCCAUUGUCUCUGCUAAACUCUCAAGAAGAAUGUAUUUAAAAUAAUGCUUUUAACUUAAACAUUCUUUAUUUUCCUAUUUUAACUUUCUAAGUUAGAAGCAAGCUCCAAAGUUGAUUUAUAACACCAUUAAAACGCUGCAAUUCUAUAUAACAUCUCUGUACUUUAAAGCUUAAGGAUGCCUAGAAGUCAACACAUAAAAUUAUUAAACCCAAGGUCAGUCUUGUUUUAUUGAAACUUCCCAAACCAUUUUAGGUUCUUUUUCUUGAUCCAGCAGAGCCUCAUGACCUUCGUUUCCCUCGCUUUCUCUGCCUGUUAGGACGCUUAUUAGGCCUAGAAGGCAUCGAAGCCCAAGAUUGCGUGGCUUUCUGUUACUUACCUGCUUAUUGAGUUUAUUGAAAAAAGGAUAUGAGAAACAAAAGGUGUAAUGGAGUUUUUUGUAAAGUUUUGCAGAAACUUACAAGGUCUUGAUGGACCUUCCCCAGCUGAAGCUUGUUCUGUCUUCUUACCGAGAACAAUGCCUUUCCCUUCUCUUUGCCUUGAAGCCAUCAUUUCAGACAAUAAUAUAUCUGUUGUCCCGUCAUCGUCUUCAAGUUCUUAUUCUUUUUAUCAUCAUUCAUCUCUACCUUGGACUCCAUACCCAAAAUCCCUAGAAAAUGAAAAAAAUCAGCAGAUACGCUUAUGCCCAAAUUUGGAAAGACACGAAACCCUAACCAAAGUUUGAAACUUAUUAUCGUAUGAUCAAACAAACCAAAUUAGAUGCAAAACAACAGAGAUUCUAAUGGAAAAUUAAUUACUAAUUGGAAUCUUCACCAAUUAAGCGGCGGACCGAAACGGAGAUGGAUUCAAAAACCGGCGGUGAGAAUCAUGACGGAGAAACCAUGCAUAUAAACCAAACGGUGGUUCAAGGUUUCCCAAAUCACAAGUGGGGUCCACUUCACUCCAGGUCUUUGACUUUUUCUGUUUUAUCUUUUUGACAAUUAAUUGUUGUUGUGUAUUAUACAAUAUAUUUGUCCUAAAAUUAUAUGUUUGGAUCCUGUCAGAAUAUUAUAUUCCCUUUCUCAAACUAGGGCACGUGAAAAAUCUCUUUCGCAAAUUUGACUGACCCCAUAGUUUAUUUCUUUCUUUCUUUCAAUCCAAAGUCCAAACCACCGCCUCGCCUGUAAAGGAUGAGUGCUCUGAACCGAACCUUGAGCUCAUCAAUGUCGUUGAAACUCAACACCCUCACCCCUUUCCCAAUUUUCGCGUUACCAAAUUCGAAACCAAGCGAGAUUCGAUUCUCCAACAGAUGGGGGCAGCGAAAAGUCGAACGAUCUCUCUCUCACUCUCUCGCUCUCUUGGAUCAUCAAAGCUGCACAAGAAGAAGGGAUCAAAUUCAUUGCGGAGGAGGAGGUCGGUAGUCUAUGGAUUCAAAUUUAUUUGUGAUUUUUUCCGUCGUUGUUGUCCCUAGAUUAGAUUUAAAAUGGUGGUUGUGUUUGGUUAGGUGAUCAUCAUCAUGUGGGAGUGUGGUGGGACCUGAACACCUGUCCUCUUCCGGCUGGUGUAGACCCUCGUUGUGUCCGUCCGUGUAUAGAAUCUGCGUUGGAAAAGCUGUUUGGUCGUCGUUCUGCAGUCAGCAUCUAUAUCUAUGCCAUAGGAAACCUAGAAUUCAUCUCUAGUGACCUCUUGCAAAACAUCUCUUCCUCCGGAAUCAUUCUUACUCAUGCCCCCUGCGGUAAAGUCAAUCAAAUCAAUCCUAAUCGAUUUGUUUUGUUUAGUCUAAUUAAUUAGAGAGAGUUAGUAGUCUCAUGAUCUGAUCUGGCCUCCUUCUCUACUCUUAGGUAUGCACGACUUACAUGAUUUUCUUGUCGACUGGUCUGAGGAUGAGCUUAAAAACCCACAUCCUCCUGGUUACGUAAUGAUCAUCUCGAGUGAUUAUAAACUGCUUUACCCUGAGCGUUUUCGGCUUUUUCGAUUCACUACUUUUGUUGCAUAUCCAAAAGGUGUUCGCCUACUUGCCCAUCUUACCCAGCUAAAAUGUCUUGGCCAAGAGUUUGACGAAGUGUUUGCCAAAGAGUUUGUCUGGGAAACCUUAUUGAGUGAUAAUUUGGAUGAAACUUUAUUAUUGAGUGACAACAACACAUGUGAUGAGAAACCUCUCUGCAUUUGCAACAUAUGCUCUUAUGAUUACGAAGUAUGUGACGAAUUCAUCACUCAUCUCAAGUGUGAAGAGCACAUAAACCAGGUAAUUAAGCAAGCAGCAUGCAUCCUCAGCUUUUUUUUUUUAUCAUUUUUUUUCAUGUAUCUGUGUGUGUGUGCAGUGGUCUGAAAUUGUGCACGACCGCAAGCUUAAAUAUUUUUGCCAAGUUUGCAAUUAUCCCGCCUAUAGCCACUAUAACCUCUUUCUCCAUAACCAAAGUGAAGCACAUAAUCGCAAGGUAAGCGCAGCUUGUGAUCAUUAUUAUACAUUUUAACAACUCUCUGUAUCACUAAAAUUUGAUCCCCAUUUUGGUUUGUUUUCAAGCUGGUUGAGAAACAGGCUCAAGAAGAGGAGGAUUGCCAGAGCAGGAAGACAAAUCCAGAAUUGGAUCUCUUCUACGAGAGAAACAAGGAGCAAUCUCUUUGAACCGAGGCAGCCUAAGGAAGAAGAAGAAGAAGAAGAAGAAGCUAGAGUGCGUGCAUCCCCAUGCGGUCUUUGUGUUAAAGAGUUUUACUAAAUAAUGGACUACUUAUUUAUUAUUAUUAUUAUGCUGAAUACUUUGUUCUUCUACCACUCAAAAUAUUUCCAAGUCUGGUUUGUUUUUCUUUUUCUUCAUUUUAAUUAUUACAUGACAAGAUAUAGACUUCUUUCAAGUGUCCUUAUUGCCCGACCGAUAUAAGACUCGACAAGGUGCAAGCAGUUAUACUUCUGACUGGAAGAUUGGAACUGAAAGUUCUGAUCGGUGUUGGAAUGUAUUGCUGCUGUGUUCUGUUUCGUCGAAGGUUUUCAUGUACAAAAAUCAUCAGGGAAGUUUUUGAUAAUUCGAACAUCUCCCCAUAAAAACGCGUUUGUGUUUGUUCCAACUUUCUAAAUAUAGAAAUUCUUUUACAUUUCCAAAAUUAGCUUACAAUAGUCUUUGCAUCAUCACUGUUCAGUUUGUAACUUUUCCUCUUGGCUUUAGGCGUUUCAAAUUUUCAUUUACCAAAUCCAAAAAGAAGUAGUCGAUUUGGUACGAAUGAGCAUAGUAGCUCAAUGUAUGUCACUAACGGAUCAGCUCCAAUACUUAAUAUCAAAUAAUCUGAUAAUUGAUCCAAUUUGCUGGCUAACCGGGUUAAGAUGAUAGAAACCAGAAACCAAACAAAGCAACCAAGAACUACAUCCAAAAAUCUGAAUCGAGUAUCAGAGAUUUAAAGAAUAAUCUCUCCAAGAGACGUUUUAAAAUACACACAAAACUGUGAGGGAUCAUGAAUCCAUGCCGACUUAUUGUUGGGUAAUAUUUGGAUAUUAGGGAUACCGCCAACGCAGAUGAUGAAUGUGGUAAUGGGUUCUACAAACAAUUCACCAAGAAAGCUAUCAACAACUUCGACGAUUUCCACGUUGCUGUUUUAGACAUCUUCAGGUAAGAAUCACUCGAUGUUUCCAUUUUAUCAUUCUUUCUUUAGAAAAACACAACCAUAUUUUGAUGUGUAGCAACUUCAACUCGGCUUUACCAGGCCGACACUUUGAUUUCCCCACCCCAGACGAAAUAAAGGCAAGAAGACAUUUUAAUUCCCCACUUAAACGACGGAAAAUUAUUAUAACUAUUUCCAAAAUUAUUAUAACUAUUUCUCUAACACAAUGUUGAUUAAGUUAGGCUUGUUUCACGAGGUGGAAGGAAGCGAAAGACGAAGAAGAGAAGAAGAAAGUGUUCACAGAGUUCAUUGCAAAGAAAGUGAAGCCAAGUAAACUCGAUGAUGUCACUAUGAUCACCGGAAUAACAUCUCCUCCGGCGGCUAUGGCGGCUAAGAGAGCAGGAGAGAAUGUUCCUCAGCUAAAAUUCAUCAAACUCAUACCUGAUGUUAUAUUCGUCCCUACGGUCACCAUUUUGGCCAUUGUAUCUGCCAAACUCUCGAGAAGAAUGUAUUUGAAAUAAACGCUUUUAACUUAAAAACAUUCUUUAUUAUUCUCCUAUUUAUCUUCCUAAAGGUUGAAGCAAUGCUCCAAAGUUGAUUUAUAACACCAUCAUGUAGUUUGAAUAUAGCAUUAAAACGCUGCAAUGCUAUAUAAUAUCUCUGUACUUAAGGGGUGCCUACAGUCAACACACUUUAAUUAUUAAACCCAAGAUCUUCUUGAAGUUUCCCAAACAAUUUUAGGAUCCUCUUCUUGAUCCACCAGAGCCUGACCUUCGUUUCCCUCGCUUUCUCUGCCUGUUAGGACGCUUAUUAGGCCUAGAAGGCAUGGAAGCAUUUGACUUUGGCUUCUCCUUUGAAACUCUACGUCUCUUUGUCUUAUUAGUCUUUUCCUUUACCUCCACGUCAAGAUUGCGUGGCUUUCUGUUCCUUACCUGCAUAUUGAGUUUAUCGAAGAAAAGGACAUAAAGAGGAAUGAAGUAACUAUGUAGUAGAAAAGUAACUCAUAAACAUAAAUAAAGCUACCUAAUCAAUAACAAAGAGGAAUGAAUCCAUUAUGAUAUAUAAAAAGGAUUCAUUCCCAAGCACGAUCAAGGAGGAGCUUACCUCACGAAGAAAGGUAGAGAAGCAGGAUCGUGUUACAAAAAAAAAAGGUAGAGAAGCAGGAUCAGUACUAGUACACAUGAUAGAGUCAGCUUCUUGACCAUUAGAAGCUGUUUGUUCAGUUUCAUCAUGUACAAGAGAAACAGUUCCACUAAAGGGGGAGCUAGAAGAGCAGAAGACAUCAUUGGUGUCAUCAUCAUCAUUGCAUUCUUCCGAGACUUCAAUCUCAAUCUUGUCAUCAACACUAGAGCAUUCCUAUAUAUCAACAACAACCUCUUCAUCAUCAUCUACACCACCACAACGAUCCUUCUUGAUUAUCGUCGUCAUCAUCAUCAUUCAUCUCUACCAUAUAACCAAACGGUGGUUCAAGGUUUUUUCUUAUCUUCCCAAAUCACAAGUAGGGUCCACUUUAGUCCAGGUCUUUGACUUUUUCUGUUUUAUCUUUUUGACAAUUAAUUGUUGUUGUGUAUUAUAUCGUACACAACACUUAUACAAGAUAUUUGUCCUAAAAUAAUAUGUUUGGAUUCUGUCAGAAUAUUAUAUUCCCUUUCUCAAACUAGGGCACGUGAAAAAUCUCUUUCGCAAAUUUGCUGACCCCAUAGUUUAAUUCUUUCUUUCAAUCCAAAGUCCAAACCACCGCCUCGCGCUGUAAAGGAUGAGUGCUCUGAACCGAACCUUGAGCUCAUCAAUCUCGUUGAAACUCAACACCCCUUUCCCAAUUUUCGCGUUACCAAAUUCGAAACCAAGCGAGAUUCGAUUCUCCAACAGAUGGGGGCAGCGAAAAGUCGAACGAUCUCUCUCCCACUCUCUCACUCUCUUGGAUCAUCAAAGUUGCACAAGAAGAAGGGAUCAUCAAAUUCGUUGCGGAGGAGGAGGUCGGUAGUCUAUGGAUGAUUUAAAUUUAUUUGUCCCUUAGCUAGAUUUUAAAUGGUUGUGUUGUGGUAGGAGGUGAUCUUCAUCAUGUGUUAGAAACGGCAGUGUGGUGGGACCUGAACACGUGUCCAGUUCCGGCUGGUGUAGACCCUCGUUGUGUCCGUGCGUGUAUAGAAUCUGCGUUGGAGAAGCAGAUUGGUCAUCGUUCUGCAGUCAGUAUCUAUGCCAUGGGAAACCUAGAAUACAUCUCUAGUGACCUCUUGCAAAACAUCUCUUCCUCUGGAAUCAUUCUUACUCACGCCCCCUUCGGUACGCUAAAAUCAAACCAAUCCUCGAUUUGUUUUGUUUUGUCUAAUUAAUUAGAGAGUUAGUCUCAUGAUCUUCUUCUCUACUCUUCUCUACUCUUAGGUGUGCACGACUUAUAUGAAUUUCUGGACGAAUGGUCUGAUGAUGAGCUUAAAAAAAAAACAUAUCCUCCGAAUUACAUAAUGAUGAUAUCGGGUGAUUAUGAUAUGCUUUAUCCUCAGCGUUUUCGGUGUUAUGGAUUCACUAAUUUUGUUGCAUAUCCCGAAAAUGUUCCCGUAGCUGCCCCUCUUGACGAGCUAUCACUGUUAGCUGAAGAGUUUGACAAAGUGUUUGCCAAAGAGUUUGUCUGGGAAACUUUAUUGAGUGAUAAUUUGGGUGAAACUUUAUUAUUGAGUGAUGAAAAACCUCUGUGCAUUUGCAACAUAUGCAAUGAUGUUUACCAAGUAUGUGACGAAUUCAUCACUCAUCUCAAGAGUGAAG
This 34436-nucleotide long non-coding RNA is filed under the name Brassica napus (rape). RNAcentral's name for it is "long non-coding RNA (BNAP_LNC000020)". Lineage: Eukaryota; Viridiplantae; Streptophyta; Magnoliopsida; Brassicales; Brassicaceae. The record is from RNAcentral.